GCGGGUGUAGCUCAGUGGUAGAGCGCAACCUUGCCAAGGUUGAUGCCGUGGGUUCGAAUCCCAUCACCCGCU
Molecule: transfer RNA, 72 nt
Filed under: Synechococcales cyanobacterium C42_A2020_086
Lineage: Bacteria; Bacillati; Cyanobacteriota; Cyanophyceae; Synechococcales
Also listed under: 1 other name
Rfam family: tRNA
About the family: Transfer RNA (tRNA) molecules are approximately 80 nucleotides in length.
Source: Rfam by way of RNAcentral